CCUACGGGUGGCAGCAGUGGGGAAUAUUGCGCAAUGGGCGAAAGCCUGACGCAGCGACGCCGCGUGAGUGAUGAAGGUCUUCGGAUCGUAAACCUCUGUCAGCAGGGAAGAACGGUCCCUGUGCUAAUCAGCCGUGCAUUGACGGUACCUGCAAAGAAAGCACCGGCUAACUCCGUGCCAGCAGCCGCGGUAAUACGGAGGGUGCGAGCGUUCAUCGGAAUUACUGGGCGGAAAGCGCUCGUAGGCGGUCUGUCAAGUCAAGUGUGAAAUCCCCGGGCUCAACGUGGGAACUGCAUUUGAAACUGGCAAACUGGAGUGUGGGAGAGGAUAGUGGAAUUCCAGGUGUAGGAGUGAAAGCCGUAGAUAUCUGGAGGAACAUCAGUGGCGAAGGCGACUAGCUGGGACAUAACUGACGCUGAGGAGCGAAAGCGUGGGUAGCAAACAGGAUUAGAUACCCUUGUAGUC
Molecule: ribosomal RNA, 465 nt
Filed under: uncultured bacterium
Lineage: Bacteria
Description: partial 16S ribosomal RNA
Rfam family: Bacterial small subunit ribosomal RNA
Source: RNAcentral